GGACCUUAGGAGUAAUGAUAUCCGAGAUUUCAAGUUCAAAUCUUAAUUGAUUUACAUUUUCAACUAAAUUUAUUUUUUAAUGAAAUAAACGAAACGGAUACCAAGCUAUCUAUUUCUGAAAAAAAUUUUAACAAAAAUUUUAGCAUUUUAAGUUACAAAAUUUUACUCAGAAAACAGCACAAAAUAGACUUUUUAAUUUACAAAUCCAAGAGUCCAGGCAAAAAU
Molecule: long non-coding RNA, 225 nt
Filed under: Ananas comosus (pineapple)
Lineage: Eukaryota; Viridiplantae; Streptophyta; Magnoliopsida; Poales; Bromeliaceae
Description: long non-coding RNA (ACOM_LNC039358)
Source: RNAcentral